AGCGCGGCCCGGCUGUGUCCCUGCGUCCCAGGGGCUGGGCGCGCCCGGCCUGCCCAGCGGGGGAUGCGGGGCGCUGUCACUUCCUCCCAGCAGCCGGGCAGGGGCGGGGGGCUGGCCGCGCGUCGCAUGGUAUGUGGAGUUCGGGGGACGGCACGGGGACGACGGGGUUGUCAGGCGCGGAGCCAUUGUCCGACGACGGCUCCUGAUAGGCCGCCUGGAUGGGGCGCGCUUGGCCGCGUUCCCGCGUCACACACCGGCUCCAGCUGCGGGAGAGCCCGUCCCACCCCAACUCCCCAGCCGCCCCUCUGAAGUGUUCCGGUGUCACCGUGGCCACAAGGAGGCAGGGGACGGGGGCUUCCUGAAGGAGGCCCCCUAAGGGGAAGGGGGCUACAAGGCUGGCCAGAGUGCUGGCCGCGCGGCUGUGCACAGGGCCUUGAGCCCCUCCGGUCGUCAAGCCUUGCUUGAAAUGCGUAAAUGCGGAAAGGUGAAGUGGCUGACCCGGCUCACACCACUUUAAGUAGCGGAGUGGGGUUCCUAGCCAGGCCUAUGGGACUCCCACUGGAGCCUUUCCCCCUCUGGGGCUGGGGCUGGACCCACAGGCUGCCGGAGCAGGCAGAAGGGGAGGGGCCCAAGGCCCAGACUCCAGGGCCUCGUCUGGAUCAUCAACCCGGCUUUGCCCAUUCAGCGCAGGCCUCCGUUUCCAGGCCUGUCUCCCCAUCCACACCGUCUCUCAGGGUUUGUUUUGGGAGAUGUGGGGGUGGGGCAUGUGGGGAGGAUGGAAAGGGGCUGUGAAGGGAACCCACUGGAGAUUCACUUCCUUCCUUAUUUCACACUCUAGGCUAGGAAUUCCUGCCCUCUGGAAAGGACCCAGACAUUUAGGAAUUUCCCGCUGGGCAGGGGCUUCCCUCCUGCCUCACUGGGGCCUCUGCUCCUCCCCUCUUUUGUUUGGCCUCUUUCCCCGCCCCCUGAUCACUCCGCCACCCCUUCUGCAGCCUAGUAACAGGUCUUCCAGGACCAGGGGGGCCAGCGGAGUGGGGGCGGCUGUGGGUUCAGGUGCCCUGGGAACUGAGAACUUCCUCUUCCAGAGUGCUGGCCAAGCGCCAGGUUUGCACUCGGAUUGCCAUCCAUCAUCCUGUCUCUGGGGAACCUGUGGGGGAGCGGAUGCGGGAGGCCGCCAGGAUGCAGGAUGGGGCGUUAAGGCUGCCAACCCCACCCCUUCUCUCCUAGGACUCCAGGGAUGACAUUUUUCAGAUGAGUCCACAGAGCCGCGGUGUCCCGGGGCUGGGAGGGUCCUUCCACCGGCACCGCGCAGAUGGAGUUCAUCCACACAGGGGCGAUGAGGAUACGGGCUGAGGGGCCCUGGCCGGUGGCUGCCUUCACGGCUGGCUGCUGUGGCCUCAUUGUGCAAUCCCCACAAGCCUCUCCUGGCCACCCUUGUCCCCCACUGACGGCAGUGGCCCGCCCAGAGCACCGGCUGGGGAUUGGGAAACGAGGCUGCUGCCUUGGACUUGUGUCUGCACCAGUCACUUCCCCUCUCUAAGCUCAGGCAUGAGGGUCAAUGGUAACAUACGUGAAGUCCUCAAGACAAGGAAAGUCUUCUGAAAAUGGGGCAGCAUGGAGGCCCAAGGGAUGACAGCCAAUGGGGCCCAUAGGGCAGGAGCAGUCCUUACCCUCUUCUCGCAGAUGCAGAAAGCAGUUCCCAAGAGGCCAGGCACUUCCAGAGGAGCCAAAGGCCAGCCUACGGCUCCUCCCCAGCAGGAAGCCAGCAUCACAUGCUGGGUGGCGAUGUUUGUGACCAGUGGCCAGCGGCUGUCCCAUUCCCCAGCUCCCCAGGGCACAGGCCAGGGGCAGUGAGCAGGGGGCUCUGCCUGGUGGGGAGGGCAGCAGACAGGAGCAGACUGGCAAUGACCUCUCCAUUUAGCCUAGAAGGCGAGUGUGCCAGCACCUGGCCAGGAGCCACGGUCAGCUCCUCGCACGCAACCCAGGGCCUCAGAGGCUACGACACAUGGGAUGUUCCCUCCCUUCUGUCUGCCAGAGCAAUGACAGCUGACUGUUUAAAAAUUAUUAUGGUACAAUAUACAUAAUGCAAUUUAUAAUCUUUUAAGUGCACAGUUCAGUGGCAUUAAGUAUAUUCACAGGGUCGUGCAACCAACAGCACCCUCCACCUGCAGAAAUCGUCACCUGGCAAAACGGAAACUCUACCCACUAUGCACUAACUCCUCUUUCCCUCUCCUCCGGGCCCUGGCAACCGCCAUUCUACCUUUCGUCUCUGUGGUCUUGACUAUUCUAUGUACUGCAAAUAAAUAGAGUCACACAGCGUUUAUCCUUUUGUGUCUGCAUCUGCCAGGAGGGCGUUGUCAGGUUUAUUUCACUCAGCAUAAUGCCUUCAAGAUUCAUUCAUGUGGUAGCAGGUAUCAGAAUUCCCUUCCUUUUUGAGGCUGAAUCAUAUUCCAUUGUAUGGAUGGGCUACACUGUGCAUUCAUUCAUCUCUCUGUGCACACUGGGAUUGCUGCUACCUCUUGGCUGCUGUGUACAGUGCUGCUAUAAAACAUGGGUGUGUAUACCAGGUGUGGUGGCUCAUGCCUGUAAUCCCAGCACUUUGGGAGGCCCAGGCGGGUGGAUCGCUUGAGCUCUGGAACUCAAGAUCAACCUGGGCAACAUAGUGAGACCCUGUCUCCACCAAAAAUACAAACAAUUAGCCAGGUGUGAUGGGGUGCACCUGUAGCCCCAGCUACUUGGGAGGCUGAGGUGGGAGAACCACCUGAGCCUGGCAGGUUAAGGCUGCAGUGAGCCAUGAUUGCACCACUGCACUCCAGCCUGGGCAACAGAGUAAGACCCUGUCUCACAACAAAAACAAACAAACAAAAGAACACGGGUAUGCAAAUAUCUGUUCACGUUCCUGCUUUCAAUUCUUUUGGGUAGACUGCUGAUGUUUGUUGAUCUCCACCGGUGCCAGGCGUUGUUCUAAGUGUUUUGUAUACAUUAGCCGAUUUCAUCGGACAGCCUAAUGAAGUGGGCACUAACUCUCUUCUUUUCACAGAUGAGGAAACUGAGGCACAGAGCGGUCCAGUCAUGUGCCAGCCAGUGGUGAAGCUAGGAGCCCCUUCACUAAGCACAGUGUUAUCUUGCUUCUCCUCCAACGUUGCUCAGCGUCUGAAAUUCAGCUUGAUGUAUUUAAGUCAGACACAAGAAAGGACUUCUAGACCAAGGAGUUUAGAUGCAGAAAUGGGAGGUACUAUCCUUCACUCCUUUUUCACCUUGAAAAAAAUUUUUCCCAAUCUUUUUCAUUACCUCAUUUAGUCCAUUAAUUAAACCUCCACCUGCGCCCUGUAGGGCAGCAGAAAAGGCCGAUUCAGCACGGACCAGAGAAUAACACAGGGAGGCACAUUACUGGCCCUCUCUCUGCAUUCUUGAAGGCACCUAGAGGAAAGCUCUCUAGAAGAGGGGCAGUUGGGGCUGGGCAUGGUGGCUCACCCCUGUAAUCCCAGCAUUUUGGGAGGCCAAGGCGGGCGGAUCACCUGAGGUCGGGAGUUCGAGGCCAGCCUGACCAACAUGGAGAAAUCCCGUCUCUACUAAAAAUACAAAAUACAAAAUACUAAAAAUACAAAAUUAGCCAGGUGUGGUGGUGCAUGCCUGUAAUCUCAGCUACUCGGGAGCCUGAGGCAGGAGAAUCACUUGAACCUGGGAGGCAGAGGUUGCGGUAAGCUGAGAUCACGCCAUUGCACUCCAGCCUGGGCAACAAGAGUGAAACUCCAUCUCAAAAAAAAAAAAAAAAAAAAAAAAGGAAGAAGAGGGCAGUCGAAGGCAGAAGGGAGAGCAACCUGGAGCAGGGCCCAGGGUGGUGGGUGAUCACGAGGGGCAGAGGGCCUAUAGGUGGCUGGGCCUGGCCAGAGGCGUGGCUGCAGCUGCUAGCCUUGGUCACAAGAGUGGUGCUGACCUCAGGGUGGGUCACCUAGCCCCUCCCCCAGCAGCCCGGGCCCACUUCCCUCUGCAUGAUGACUUGCACUUCCCACUGCCCUAACCCUGGUUCCCAGGACCCCAACACUCACCCUGCUUCUCCCUUUCACUUCUCAGGCUGUCACCAGCCCUGAGACUCUUCCUGGGGAUGCCCUACUGUCUGCAUGGGGUGGGGCCAUUGUGUUCCCUGUUGACAGAUGAGGAAACUGAGUCUCAGAGAAGCAGGCACAGAGGUUGAGGCCUUAAGCCUGAGGUCCCUGCUGCCACCCAGCCUUCCCCAAGAGGAGCAGUGACUUGCUCAGCAUCACCUACAGCUCCAUGAGACCCUGGCUGAAGUCUGCUGACCUCCUCCGGGACUGUGGGAUGGCCAGGACAGCUGACCAGGAGCCACUUUCACGGCACAUCCCCUCCUGCAAAGGAGGGAGCAUGAGGACCCUCAGCAGCCCAGACAUGUACCAUCAGGCGGUGCCCCACCCCAGCCCCACGGGACACUGUCGAUUUGUUGAUAGCCCCCCUGCCCCUUUCCUCCUAGGAGGAAGCCAGGCCAAGGAUUCCUUUUCGUAUUUGGCAGAUGGAGAAACCGAGGCCUGAUGAGGUAUGGCUUCUGCAGCUAUUCCAUGAGCCUGACCCACUGUCCUUGCUGGAGAAGGGCCAUGGGAGAGAAAGCAGGGCCUAUGGGGCAGCAGGACCCCAACCCCAGUGGCCUUCCAAAUAGUGUGGUGUAGGAGGGCUUCCUGGAGGAGUGGGUCCUGGUGGAACUCAUGGGCAUAGGAAGUUCUCUAUGCCAGCUGCAAGCGGCCACUCUCCUCCCCAAGUUCAGCUCUCCUAAAACUCUAGUCUUUCACCACAGCUCUCUGGUACUGAUGCAAAAUGCCUAAGUGCAGCUCCGGUCCCUUCUGCCUGGGGUUCCUGUAGAACAUGGGCCCUUCUCGGAGCCGGCAUAAUUUCCAGGAAAACAGCUGCAGAGCUACGGCCUAUGCAGGGUUCUGCCAAUGACAGAGGCCAGUCACGUGGCAGGACCUCUCUUGGGAAGCCCAGUGCUGCUUCAUGGGGCUGUUUGGAG
This 5020-nucleotide long non-coding RNA is filed under the name Homo sapiens (human). Its description in RNAcentral is "non-protein coding LINC00677:4". The record is from RNAcentral. Lineage: Eukaryota; Metazoa; Chordata; Mammalia; Primates; Hominidae.